GGACUACUGGGGUAUCUAAUCCUGUUUGCUCCCCACGCUUUCGUGCCUCAGUGUCAGUGCUGGUCCAGGUAGUCGCCUUCGCCACAGAUGUUCCUCCCGAUCUCUACGCAUUUCACUGCUACACCGGGAAUUCCACUACCCUCUACCGCACUCUAGCCUGCCAGUAUCCAAUGCAAUUCCCAGGUUGAGCCCAGGGCUUUCACAUCAGACUUAACAAACCACCUACGCACGCUUUACGCCCAGUAAUUCCGAGUAACGCUUGCACCCUUCGUAUUACCGCGGCUGCUGGCACAC
RNAcentral lists this unclassified non-coding RNA (294 nucleotides) under uncultured fungus. RNAcentral's name for it is "sequence contains ITS1". Lineage: Eukaryota; Fungi. The record is from RNAcentral.